This 247-nucleotide long non-coding RNA is filed under the name Homo sapiens (human). RNAcentral describes it as "HSALNT0362649". The record is from RNAcentral. Lineage: Eukaryota; Metazoa; Chordata; Mammalia; Primates; Hominidae.
CUGGGCAGGCAAAGUGAAGUGCAAAAUACAGGUGGCUUAAAUCUCUGAGCUCCAAUUUCCCCUUAUCUGUGAAAUGGAAGGAACCCACAUAGAUUGACUUCUCAGUUUGUGGCGAGGAUUACAUGAACUACUAUGCUUAUAAGCAAAAAUAGAGUCUUUGCCGCCGCGCCGGCGAGCGCCGCCCGGGAGGCAGCGGCUGGAGGAGCGGACGGGCCCCGCGGGGCCCGAGGGCAAGGAGCAGCCGCCU